Molecule: ribosomal RNA, 446 nt
Filed under: uncultured bacterium
Lineage: Bacteria
Description: partial 16S ribosomal RNA
Rfam family: Bacterial small subunit ribosomal RNA
Source: RNAcentral
CCUACGGGUGGCAGCAGUCGAGAAUCAUUCACAAUGGGGGAAACCCUGAUGGUGCGACGCCGCGUGGGGGAAUGAAGGUCUUCGGAUUGUAAACCCCUGUCAUGUGGGAGCAAAUUAAAAAGAUAGUACCACAAGAGGAAGAGACGGCUAACUCUGUGCCAGCAGCCGCGGUAAUACAGAGGUGUCAAGCGUUGUUCGGAAUCACUGGGCGUAAAGCGUGCGUAGGCUGUUUCGUAAGUCGUGUGUGAAAGGCGAGGGCUCAAGCCGCGGACGGCACAUGAUACUGCGAGACUAGAGUAAUGGAGGGGGAACCGGAAUUCUCGGUGUAGCAGUGAAAUGCGUAGAUAUCGAGAGGAACACUCGUGGCGAAGGCGGGUUCCUGGACAUUAACUGACGCUGAGGCACGAAGGCCAGGGGAGCGAAAGGGAUUAGAUACCCUUGUAGUC